This 253-nucleotide ribosomal RNA is filed under the name uncultured bacterium. RNAcentral describes it as "partial 16S ribosomal RNA". It matches the Rfam family "Bacterial small subunit ribosomal RNA", at positions 524 to 776 of the family's 1533-position model. The record is from RNAcentral.
UACGAAGGGGACUAGCGUUGUUCGGAAUUACUGGGCGUAAAGCGCACGUAGGCGGAAUUGUCAGUCAGGGGUGAAAUCCCGGGGCUCAACCUCGGAACUGCCCUUGAUACAGCAAUUCUCGAGUCCGAUAGGGGUGAGUGGAAUUCCUAGUGUAGAGGUGAAAUGCGUAGAUAUUAGGAAGAACACCGGUGGCGAAGGCGGCUCACUGGAUCGGUACUGACGCUGAGGUGCGAAAGCGUGGGGAGCAAACAGG